Molecule: long non-coding RNA, 988 nt
Organism: Cucurbita moschata (crookneck pumpkin)
Lineage: Eukaryota; Viridiplantae; Streptophyta; Magnoliopsida; Cucurbitales; Cucurbitaceae
Exons: 5
Source: RefSeq, a predicted model, not a curated record
ACCUGCACCUUAACCUCUCUCUCUCUUUUAAACCUUCUUCAGAGAAGGUGUAAGGUGCUGGUGCAUUUGCAGCUGAAUGCCAUCUUGGAAACCCCAUAAUCUCCCCUUUAUUCUAGGCCUCUUUUUACUCAUAAACUCAACACGGUCACCAUCACCGUCGCCGCCCCGACUCACCAACGACGUUCUAAAUGGUUGUCUUGGCUGGAGGUACGGCGGAGAAAUGAGUGUUAUCAGACAUCAUGGUAGAUAGAGAAGCGUGGUCGGUAGAAUCUAGAGUCUUCCUUUGCCUCGGCAAACUUUUGAUGGUACUCUCUGAGCGUGCGGUAGCCAACGAGCUAGACCUAAGAGGGCACGGUUGGACUCGUGGUAUUUUAACACAUAGCCCACCCAUGCGCACAUGGACUCACUAGGCGGGCUCGUAUACAUAUCCCUUGGAUCUGGCUCGUUGGGUUAGCGCGCUCUGUGUUGUCGAACAAUAUGGAGAGAAAGAGCCUGCAUAAUAUCAUGGCGAACAUAAAUAUCGUAAGGGUCUUUGGAACUAUUGACGUAUCAUGAUCGAGGAAAGGGAAACGAACGUUAUCCACCUUACUCAACUUUGAUCUAUGGGGUUCGUCUCUUUUACUAGGAAGCAUAUCAUGAAUCAACAAGCUUUUCAAGCUUUCCUCGACUUUCGUUUCAUACGUCAGAUGAAAAUGAUUGUCGGGAAUGUGAUAUGAUCGAACAAGCCAUUUAUAAGGAUUGAGGUAUAAUUUUGUCGGGAUAAGAAGUAAAUAUGUCAUUUUACAACAGUAAGGAUGUUUGUUCGAUUUUAUUUAGGUAUGCAGUUAACGGCUUUUGUUCAUAAUCUUAAAAACAUUGUUUUACCUUUGCUUGUUCCUGGUGCUCGAAAUAAUUUUGAUGACUUUACGUGAGAAUGUCAAAAGCUAUACAGGUUUUAGAAAGAGAAAAAAGUAAGGUCGUGAAACCUUUAAUAACUCAACUAUAGAUA